RNAcentral lists this ribosomal RNA (437 nucleotides) under uncultured bacterium. RNAcentral's name for it is "bacterial SSU rRNA". It matches the Rfam family "Bacterial small subunit ribosomal RNA", at positions 376 to 803 of the family's 1533-position model. The record is from RNAcentral.
CGAAAGGGUGACAAUGCGACGCCGCGUGUGUGAUGAAGGUCUUCGGAUCGUAAAACACUGUCGGCCGGGAGGAAUCUCUGGAGGCUUAACAAGUCUGCAGGGUGACAGUACCGGCAAAGGAAGCCACGGCUAACUCCGUGCCAGCAGCCGCGGUAAUACGGAGGUGGCAAGCGUUGUUCGGAAUUAUUGGGCGUAAAGAGCACGUAGGCGGUUCUGCAAGUCGGCUGUGAAAGCCUUCCGCUCAACGGAAGAACAGCAGUUGAUACUACAGGACUAGAGUGCGGGAGGGGAGAGUGGAACUUCUGGUGGAGCGGUGAAAUGCGUAGAUAUCAGAAGGAACGCCGGCGGCGAAAGCGACUCUCUGGCCCGUAACUGACGCUGAGUGUGCGAAAGCUAGGGGAGCAAACGGGAUUAGAUACCCCGGUAGUCCUAGCCGU